Molecule: long non-coding RNA, 230 nt
Filed under: Gallus gallus (chicken)
Lineage: Eukaryota; Metazoa; Chordata; Aves; Galliformes; Phasianidae
Source: RNAcentral
CGCAGUUCCCAGUAGGUUUCAUUGGUAACCCAGGCUUCUCUUUGAUUAGCAUCGAUAACUUUUUUAAAAAACUUGGGUACAUAUUCAAUGCUGUUUUCUUCCAUGUACCGCCUCCGACUUCUCUGGAGUUCUUCUAUUCUUUGUUUCUCUGAUGCUGCUGCUUCUAUAUUUCCUUCCUCCAGAAGCCUUUGAUCCGGCCUGAAUCGUGCAUCUGUUGUUGGAAGAAGAUC